Salmo salar (Atlantic salmon) is the source of this 761-nucleotide non-coding RNA. The record is from RefSeq and is a predicted model, not a curated record. Lineage: Eukaryota; Metazoa; Chordata; Actinopteri; Salmoniformes; Salmonidae.
UAAGAAUAGAAUUUGAAAUGACCACAAAACAACAGGUGAAUAGUUAUGAGCCCUAAUUGAGAUGUUUAAUGUUAUUGCAGUCAUGGGGGGAGAGGAUCUGCAUGCCAGACUGACAACCACCAGAGGACAUACGGUCCAAAGCAACAUUCUCCUUGAAAAGAACAAACUUGAGGAAGUGAAACGGCUACAAAAGAGAAUUUCUGAAUUGCCGUGUUUCCACUCAGCAAGGAGAUAUUGCCAAGUGGAAGGCUAGAGCAGUUAAGCUGAAGGAGAGGAGGGACGUGGUAGAAACGCCUCCAUCUGCAUGUACUCAUUCAAAACGACGCCUUCCUUCUGAGGACCUCAACUCUCCCAUGAAGUUCCUUCACUCUCCCAAGAAGUUCAUAGACUAUCCCAAAAAGUUUAUUUAUUCUCCCAAGAAGUUCCUCGACUCGCCCAAGAGAAAGUUCUUUGAUGUCCGUCCAGGCUCUGAAUGUCGAUUAACUGUCCCAAACAAUUUUUUUGAUAACUCCAACCUUGAAAACGUUCAAGAUGCCACUGUGGAUUAAAAGGAGGACUGGUGGCCUGUCACCAAAGCAAGCUGAUUUAUGCAAACAGCAGUAAAUUAUUUACCUAAAUUGCACUAAUCAUUCAUUGUUUAUUUAUUUUUCAAUAUUUAAAGAGUUUGUUUUCAUAUUGUAUUUGUCGCCAGUUAAUUUUAAUGUUGUGAUCAAUUUGAUUGCCUUAUAUUUUAAAAUAAAGCCAUUUUAAUUUUUAUAAGA